RNAcentral lists this transfer RNA (69 nucleotides) under Herpetotheres cachinnans. RNAcentral's name for it is "tRNA-Phe". The record is from RNAcentral. Lineage: Eukaryota; Metazoa; Chordata; Aves; Falconiformes; Falconidae.
GUCUCUGUAGCUUACAAUAAAGCAUGGCUCUGAAGAUGCCAAGACGGCCCACUCCCUACCCCAGAGACA